CCUACGGGGGGCAGCAGGCGCGAACACUCUCCAAUGUGCGAAAGCGUGAGAGGGGAAUUCCUAGUGCUUAUGGUUCAUCCAUAGGCUUUUGCCAAGUGUAAAUAGCUUGGCGAAUAAGUGGUGGGCCAGACUGGUGCCAGCCGCCGCGGUAACACCAGCGCCACGAGUGGCCAUCGCGAUUAUUGGGCUUAAAGCGUCCGUAGUCUGUUCUAUGCAUCUUCUGUGAAAUCGCUGCGCUUAACGUAGCGGCAUGCGGAAGACACGGUAGAACUUGAGACCGGGAGGCGUCAGAGGUACUCCGGGGGGACCGGUAAAAUGGUAUAAUCCCCGGAAGACCACCUGUGGCGAAGGCGUCUGACGAGAACGGAUCUGACGAUGAGGGACGAAAGCCAGGGGAGCAAACCGGAUUAGAUACCCGCGUAGUCC
Molecule: ribosomal RNA, 426 nt
Filed under: uncultured archaeon
Lineage: Archaea
Description: bacterial SSU rRNA
Rfam family: Archaeal small subunit ribosomal RNA
Source: RNAcentral